Molecule: long non-coding RNA, 528 nt
Organism: Limulus polyphemus (Atlantic horseshoe crab)
Lineage: Eukaryota; Metazoa; Arthropoda; Merostomata; Xiphosura; Limulidae
Exons: 2
Source: RefSeq, a predicted model, not a curated record
UUGUGACAGAACCUGGAACGAAACCACUGAUCGAACGUAUAACUGCCUUGAAAUACGACGCUCACUCUGUUUACUAGAGGCAAUCCCCAGCUUCAGUGGUCAAUCAGUUUGCGUGUGGUCAGCCUGGGCUGCACGUGUCCGUCUCGUGCUCUCACUGAAUAUAAGUUAUUUUCAAACUCCUAUGAUCACAACAAAAAUACAACCGAUUUCGUCAACAUUGAAGAGUUAAUUUAAAAUCAUCCAAAGAUAAAACAGCCCAGGCUGAUAAAACGCACGUAGACGUAAAACAACAACAGAAGAAAGAAAAAAAAGGGAUUAGAACAACAGAAAAGAAAGUGGACUUGUAUACCAGUGAAUUAUCAAACAGUGACAAUGGCAACCAAAUUUACAACCUUGAUCACACCUGUUUGUAUCGUGGUUGGCUUACUUUUCCUUACAAGUAGGGCCGAUUCCAGUGUAAGACUCUGUGGAAAUCAUCUCUCCGAAGCUCUGGCUUUGUUGUGCCGAGCUCAUGGCGGGUUCUAUUCA